UACAGAGGUGGCAAGCGUUGUUCGGAAUUACUGGGCGUAAAGGGCGCGUAGGCGGUUCGUUAAGUCCUGUGUGAAAUCCCCCGGCUCAACUGGGGAACUGCACAGGAAACUAGCGGGCUUGAGUUCGGGAGAGGGAUGCGGAAUUCCAGGUGUAGCGGUGAAAUGCGUAGAUAUCUGGAGGAACACCGGUGGCGAAGGCGGCAUCCUGGACCGGUAUUGACACUGAGGCGUGAAAGCCAGGGGAGCAAACGGG
RNAcentral lists this ribosomal RNA (253 nucleotides) under uncultured bacterium. RNAcentral describes it as "partial 16S ribosomal RNA". It matches the Rfam family "Bacterial small subunit ribosomal RNA", at positions 524 to 776 of the family's 1533-position model. The record is from RNAcentral.